RNAcentral lists this ribosomal RNA (253 nucleotides) under uncultured prokaryote. RNAcentral describes it as "partial 16S ribosomal RNA". It matches the Rfam family "Bacterial small subunit ribosomal RNA", at positions 524 to 776 of the family's 1533-position model. The record is from RNAcentral.
GACAGAGGUGGCAAGCGUUGUUCGGAUUUACUGGGCGUAAAGAGUGCGUAGGUGGUGAGGUAAGACCUGUGGGAAAGACCUGGGCUUAACCCAGGAAGGUCGCAAGUGACUGCCUCGCUUGAGGACGGGAGAGGAGAGCGGAAUUCCCGGUGUAGCGGUGAAAUGCGUAGAGAUCGGGAGGAACACCAGAGGCGAAAGCGGCGACCUGGACAGGUACUGACACUCAACUACGAAAGCGUGGGGAGCAAACAGG